Molecule: ribosomal RNA, 456 nt
Filed under: Clostridium sporogenes
Lineage: Bacteria; Bacillati; Bacillota; Clostridia; Eubacteriales; Clostridiaceae
Description: bacterial SSU rRNA
Rfam family: Bacterial small subunit ribosomal RNA
Source: RNAcentral
CAGGACGAACGCUGGCGGCGUGCUUAACACAUGCAAGUCGAGCGAUGAAGCUUCCUUCGGGAAGUGGAUUAGCGGCGGACGGGUGAGUAACACGUGGGUAACCUGCCUCAAAGUGGGGGAUAGCCUUCCGAAAGGAAGAUUAAUACCGCAUAACAUAAGAUAAUCGCAUGAUUUUCUUAUCAAAGAUUUAUUGCUUUGAGAUGGACCCGCGGCGCAUUAGCUAGUUGGUAAGGUAAUGGCUUACCAAGGCAACGAUGCGUAGCCGACCUGAGAGGGUGAUCGGCCACAUUGGAACUGAGACACGGUCCAGACUCCUACGGGAGGCAGCAGUGGGGAAUAUUGCGCAAUGGGGGAAACCCUGACGCAGCAACGCCGCGUGGGUGAUGAAGGUCUUCGGAUUGUAAAGCCCUGUUUUCUGGGACGAUAAUGACGGUACCAGAGGAGGAAGCCACGGCU